GUUGUAUGGUUAAGCGACCAAGCGUAUACGGUGGAUGCCUUGGCAGUCAGAGGCGAUGAAGGACGUAGUAACUUGCGAAAAGCGUUGGUGAGCUAGUAACAAGCAUUUGAGCCAGCGAUGUCCGAAUGGGGAAACCCGGCAGCAUAAGCUGUCAUCAAUACGUGAAUACAUAGCGUAUUGAGGCGAACGAGGGGAACUGAAACAUCUAAGUACCCUCAGGAAAAGAAAUCAACCGAGAUUCCCCAAGUAGCGGCGAGCGAACGGGGAUUAGCCCUUAAGUCUUUGGGGUGUUAGUGGAAUGUGUUGGAAAGCACAGCGGCACAGGGUGAUAGCCCCGUACACGUAAACUAACCAGAGAUGAAAUCGAGUAAGGCGGCACACGUGACAUGUUGUCUGAAUAUGGGGGGACCAUCCUCCAAGGCUAAAUACUCCUGACUGACCGAUAGUGAACCAGUACCGUGAGGGAAAGGCGAAAAGAACCCCUGUGAGGGGAGUGAAAUAGAACCUGAAACCGUAUACGUACAAGCAGUGGAAGCGGUCCUUGAGACCGUGACUGCGUACCUUUUGUAUAAUGGGUCAGCGACUUACAUUUAGUAGCGAGGUUAAGCGAAUAGCGGAGCCGUAGGGAAACCGAGUGUUAACUGCGCGUUUAGUUGCUAGGUGUAGACCCGAAACCCGGUGAUCUAGCCAUGGGCAGGUUGAAGGUUGAGUAACAUCAACUGGAGGACCGAACCGACUAAUGUUGAAAAAUUAGCGGAUGACUUGUGGCUGGGGGUGAAAGGCCAAUCAAACCGGGAGAUAUCUGGUUCUCCUCGAAAGCUAUUUAGGUAGCGCCUCGGACGAACACCUUUGGGGGUAGAGCACUGUUAAGGCUAGGGGGUCAUCCCGACUUACCAACCCUUUGCAAACUCCGAAUACCAAAGAGUGCUAUCCGGGAGACAGACGGCGGGUGCUAACGUCCGUCGUCAAAAGGGAAACAACCCAGACCGUCAGCUAAGGUCCCAAAGUAAUUGCUAAGUGGGAAACGAUGUGGGAAGGCUUAGACAGCUAGGAUGUUGGCUUAGAAGCAGCCAUCAUUUAAAGAAAGCGUAAUAGCUCACUAGUCGAGUCGGCCUGCGCGGAAGAUGUAACGGGGCUAAGCAAUUCACCGAAGCUACGGGUACUGAUGCUUGCAUCAGUGCGGUAGAGGAGCGUUCUGUAAGCCGUUGAAGGCGAAGGGGUAACCCACGCUGGAGGUAUCAGAAGUGCGAAUGCUGACAUGAGUAACGAUAAAGGGGGUGAAAAACCCCCUCGCCGAAAGACCAAGGGUUCCUGUCCAACGUUAAUCGGGGCAGGGUGAGUCGACCCCUAAGGCGAGGCUGAAAGGCGUAGUCGAUGGGAAACGGGUUAAUAUUCCCGUACUUCUGCUAACUGCGAUGGAGAGACGGAGAAGGCUAGGCCAGCGCGGCGUUGGUUGUCCGCGUUUAAGGUAGUAGGUGGUGUGCUUAGGCAAAUCCGGGCACACAUACACUGAGAGCUGACGACGAGUCCCCAAGGGGAUGAAGUGGUUGAUGCCAUGCUUCCAGGAAAAUCUUCUAAGCUUCAGGUUAGUAGGAAUCGUACCCCAAACCGACACAGGUGGUCGGGUAGAGAAUACCAAGGCGCUUGAGAGAACUCGGCUGAAGGAACUAGGCAAAAUGGUACCGUAACUUCGGGAGAAGGUACGCUGCCGGCGGUGAAGACCUCGCGUCGUAAGCUGCUGGCAGUCGCAGAUACCAGGUGGCUGCAACUGUUUAUCAAAAACACAGCACUGUGCAAAAUCGCAAGAUGACGUAUACGGUGUGACGCCUGCCCGGUGCCGGAAGGUUAAUUGAUUGGGUUAUCUUCGGAGAAGCUCAUGAUCGAAGCCCCGGUAAACGGCGGCCGUAACUAUAACGGUCCUAAGGUAGCGAAAUUCCUUGUCGGGUAAGUUCCGACCUGCACGAAUGGCGUAAUGAUGGCCACGCUGUCUCCAGCCGAGACUCAGUGAAGUUGAAAUUGCGGUGAAGAUGCCGUAUACCCGCGGCUAGACGGAAAGACCCCGUGAACCUUUACUAUAGCUUGGCACUGAACAUUGACCCUACAUGUGUAGGAUAGGUGGGAGACUAUGAAGAUGAGACGCCAGUCUUGUUGGAGUCAACCUUGAAAUACCACCCUUGUAGUGUUGAUGUUCUAACCUUGGUCCCUUAUCGGGAUUAGGGACAGUGCCUGGUGGGUAGUUUGACUGGGGCGGUCUCCUCCCAAAGAGUAACGGAGGAGCACGAAGGUUGGCUAAGUACGGUCGGACAUCGUACGGUUAGUGCAAUGGCAUAAGCCAGCUUAACUGCGAGACAGACACGUCGAGCAGAUGCGAAAGCAGGUCAUAGUGAUCCGGUGGUUCUGAAUGGAAGGGCCAUCGCUCAACGGAUAAAAGGUACUCCGGGGAUAACAGGCUGAUACCGCCCAAGAGUUCAUAUCGACGGCGGUGUUUGGCACCUCGAUGUCGGCUCAUCACAUCCUGGGGCUGAAGUCGGUCCCAAGGGUAUGGCUGUUCGCCAUUUAAAGUGGUACGCGAGCUGGGUUCAGAACGUCGUGAGACAGUUCGGUCCCUAUCUGCCGUGGGCGUUGGAUGAUUGAGGGGAGCUGCUCCUAGUACGAGAGGACCGGAGUGGACGAACCGCUGGUGUUCGGGUUGUCAUGCCAAUGGCAUUGCCCGGUAGCUACGUUCGGAAUCGAUAACCGCUGAAAGCAUCUAAGCGGGAAGCGAGCCCCAAGAUGAGUCAUCCCUAGGGCCUAGAGCCCUCUGAAGAGCCGUUCGAGACCAGGACGUUGAUAGGCAGGGUGUGUAAGCGUUGCGAGGCGUUGAGCUAACCUGUACUAAUGACUCGAGAGGCUUAACCAUACAACCCAGAUGGGUUUU
Molecule: ribosomal RNA, 2917 nt
Filed under: Shewanella chilikensis
Lineage: Bacteria; Pseudomonadati; Pseudomonadota; Gammaproteobacteria; Alteromonadales; Shewanellaceae
Description: 23S ribosomal RNA
Rfam family: Bacterial large subunit ribosomal RNA
Source: RNAcentral